This 928-nucleotide long non-coding RNA is filed under the name Numida meleagris (helmeted guineafowl). Its description in RNAcentral is "lncRNA (ENSNMEG00000001789.1)". The record is from RNAcentral. Lineage: Eukaryota; Metazoa; Chordata; Aves; Galliformes; Numididae.
CGCGGCCGGCUGGGCUCGGGGAGCUGCUGCGGCCGCCGCCGCCGCGCCGCUGUCUGUGGUAGCAUCUCAGCUUACACGCUGCUUUAAAGCCCUGCGGCCGGCACCGCGCGCCCGCUGACGCCGCCCCAGCCUUGCCCGCCGUAGCGCGGCGGCCCUGCCCGCGUCGCAGUACGAGCGGGCGGGCGGGCGGGGAGAGGCGGGAGGCGGGGGGUACCCGGGGCGGGGCGGCCGCAGAGCUUCAGGGCUCGCCUCAGGGCGCGAGCUCCCCUCAGGACAGCGGCGUGCGGGCAGCGGUCGUGAAAUGGCGGUUGGCCCCUUCCCUCCCUCUUUUCCCUCAAAACUGAAGGAGAGGUCUCUGAUUCUCCACAAAGAGAAAAGGAAAAACAUCUGUCAGUUUGGUAAUAUUUUAGGGAGGUGCUGCUGUUCCAAAAGGCUGUCCUUCGACUUACUGCAGAUUCUCACAUCUUGGCAUGCUGUCCCUGUCACUUCGAGUAAAAUCCAUGCUGCAGCCAUUUUUGGAUUUUGCCAAGAGUCUACAGAACAUGAAAACAAAAUAUAGACAGUUUUCUGACUCUUUCAGAAACUGUCUGAGAGUGCUGUGUGGCUGAACUCUCUGUACUUCAGGGAUCUCAAAAAGAAUUUGAUUCGUCAGAUAUUUCUCAAUGAAUUUCUCCUGAAAAAGGAGUGAGGCAAGUGACCAUAACACUUCAUGUAUCACUAAAGAUUUUUUCUGUGCUACCAUCAUGAAAUAUUGUGGGCUUGUGCUCUCCCCUCAUUGGUGUCACACAAUCAAUUAAACAGCCUGGAGCAUUCUAUACUCUUCAUAAAAUAACUUUCAUUUUUCUUCUUUCUUUGCUUAAGACACAGUUCUGGUCCCUAAAGUAAAAUGAGGAAAAACUAACACUUGAAAUUAUCCAUCACAUGUUUA